AUGUCACCGCCGGUAUAAAAAUGCACGGCAGCAUCUCCACUUUCAUUCACCGCUUCUCAAACUUGGGGACUUGAGCACAUCAGUGAGUCCAGGCUUUGUUAACACUCCACGCAAAGAUGAAUAAGCUGUGUAUAGUUUACCUCGGAGUUCUCCUGCUGGCUCUUCAUCUUUCAUUACAGGUGGCCACGGUUACUGCAACCAAUACCACCGUGAAGCCGGCGACCGAUAAGAACGGCUGUGAGAGGGCCGAAGGCCUCACACUGCUGCUCCCACUGGCUCUGGCAGCUUGGCUCCUCCACGGCUGGUCUCACUGACUGGACUGAUGGGUCUCUUCACCGGACACAAGACCAGACUGAGGGUGCAGCAUUCUUCAGUUCUAUAAAUCCCUCUCAUAAAAGUGUCCAGGAUUUCAAAGCUUUACUCCUAUUCUCAUGUUGGAAAUUUUUCAUUUUGAAAGGCCAGAGCCAUGUCUCUACGCUUACAACCAGGGAGGCACCUUGCUGUUCUUGUUCCUUUUUGUCCUGUUCUUUGCAGGGGGCUCCUCAUGGACUACCUGAAAAUUCACAGUUGACUGGAAAAACAAUGGUCUCUUGGUUGAGCCUGUCAGUAGAGAUGGUGUAAUCAUAUUCCCCCUGUGUGCUUUUUAAAAAAAUGUUAUACUUGAUCCAGGCAUCAGGCCAAAAAGUGUAAACAAGUUUAGAAAGUUUGUCUUACAAAUUUGGGAAAUAUGGGAGUAAUGUUAAUGUGACUGUGCUUUUAGAUCUUGACUUUUCUAAGUUCAAUAAAACUAACUUGAAAGUAACAA
Lates calcarifer (barramundi perch) is the source of this 805-nucleotide long non-coding RNA. RefSeq lists it as uncharacterized. The record is from RefSeq and is a predicted model, not a curated record. The transcript has 2 exons. Lineage: Eukaryota; Metazoa; Chordata; Actinopteri; Centropomidae.